Molecule: non-coding RNA, 147 nt
Organism: Spinacia oleracea (spinach)
Lineage: Eukaryota; Viridiplantae; Streptophyta; Magnoliopsida; Caryophyllales; Amaranthaceae
Source: Rfam
ACAAAAGAGGCAGGAAGUCUAAAUUCUUGUCGUUUUCGCGGUCAGUCUUGGGAGGAUCAGAUCUUAGGCGCGCUCGUCGCUGCCCCGGCAACGGUUACAGAUCACGCGAAACCUGAAAAACAAGGCUGAAAUGCCUUGUUUUUUUUU